AUGACCGACGCCAAGCUGCCGGACAUGCAGUCGGGCUUCGAGAAGGGCAUCACCGAGGUCAUGGCCGGCCUCGCCGGCACCAACCUGAUCUACGAGGCGG
This is a regulatory RNA element of Tistlia consotensis, 100 nucleotides long. It matches the Rfam family "Pyrrolysine insertion sequence mttB". The record is from Rfam. Lineage: Bacteria; Pseudomonadati; Pseudomonadota; Alphaproteobacteria; Rhodospirillales; Rhodovibrionaceae.